This 145-nucleotide transfer RNA is filed under the name Cellvibrionales bacterium. Its description in RNAcentral is "tRNA-OTHER". Lineage: Bacteria; Pseudomonadati; Pseudomonadota; Gammaproteobacteria; Cellvibrionales. The record is from RNAcentral.
ACAGGAAGUAGCUAGGAUAGUAAAAGAUCUUAGUGAAACAGCGCCCAGCCCCUUAAACGACACUUGAGGGUGAUGAUAUAGUCCAUCAACGUCAAAAUCCGCCGCCUUAACGGGUGUGCCGGUUCAAGUCCGGCCUCCGGUACCA